Vicugna pacos (alpaca) is the source of this 81-nucleotide non-coding RNA. Lineage: Eukaryota; Metazoa; Chordata; Mammalia; Artiodactyla; Camelidae. The record is from RefSeq and is a predicted model, not a curated record.
UGUGCUCUGCCGAUAAAGGUCCUAUGCAGAGAGAAUUACUUUUGUUCCCCCUCAAAAUCCAACUCUACCUAAACAGAAAUU